UACGUAGGGUGCAAGCGUUGUCCGGAAUUAUCGGGCGUAAAGAGCUCGUAGGCGGUCUGUCGCGUCUGCUGUGAAAACUCGGGGCUUAACCCCGGGCCUGCAGUGGGUACGGGCAGACUAGAGUGCGGUAGGGGAGACUGGAAUUCCUGGUGUAGCGGUGAAAUGCGCAGAUAUCAGGAGGAACACCGGUGGCGAAGGCGGGUCUCUGGGCCGUAACUGACGCUGAGGAGCGAAAGCAUGGGGAGCGAACAGG
This 253-nucleotide ribosomal RNA is filed under the name uncultured bacterium. Its description in RNAcentral is "partial 16S ribosomal RNA". It matches the Rfam family "Bacterial small subunit ribosomal RNA", at positions 524 to 776 of the family's 1533-position model. The record is from RNAcentral.